This 301-nucleotide long non-coding RNA is filed under the name Mus musculus (house mouse). RNAcentral describes it as "long non-coding RNA chr11:21295559-21295860". The record is from RNAcentral. Lineage: Eukaryota; Metazoa; Chordata; Mammalia; Rodentia; Muridae.
AAAAAUAUUAUACAUGAUAAUAAAGUACCUUUAAGAGAUAAUGCUGUGACUUACUUCAAGCCUCGAGUGGCCCCAUUUUGGCACUACGUCAAGGUUGAGCUAGUUUCCUCCAACCCCUGGUGAAAUCCCUACAGCUAUUCAGAGCAUGAAAAAAACAAUUGAAAGUGCUAAAACUGGUAGCUUCAAACAGCUUACAGUUAAGGAAGCUGUGCGGAAUGGCUUGUUGGCCACUGAGGUGUGGAUGUGGUCUUAUCUCCGAGAGAUCAUAGGCAAACGUGUAAUUUUUGGCUAUGAUGUUUGA